This 1082-nucleotide long non-coding RNA is filed under the name Marmota monax (woodchuck). The record is from RNAcentral. Lineage: Eukaryota; Metazoa; Chordata; Mammalia; Rodentia; Sciuridae.
AGAACCCAGUGCCUCAUACAUGCCAGGCAAGCGCACUCACUUGAGCCACAUCCCCAGCCCCAUUUUAAUUUAUAUUUUUGAGAUAGGAUCUCACUAAGUUGCUGAGGCUGGCCUUGAACUUGCAAUUCUCCUGCCUCAGCUUCCUGAGUCAAUGGGAUUACAGGUAUACACCACUGUGCCUGGCAAAACAAACUUUAAGGAGGUUAAUUUCACACUUCACACUUCCAAUUCCAAUGGUAAAAAGAAUUACCUAAGCAGAGCAUCUUGAGAUUUUUUUUUUUCUUGAACCUUUUGGGUCAUUGAUCCAUCCUUGAACCAAUCACUAUGGACAUGGUAGGCCUAAAUCAGAAGUCACCAAUCAUACAUAACAGAGGGUCUAAGAGUAAGGGCAGAAAGGAAUUCAAUAGUCCGCUGGAACUUCAUUGCCUGAUUAACACAGUCUAGUGGACUGAAUGCAUGUUCCAUAGACUCUGUGAGUUAAAUUGCAGACUGAGUAUCUGAAAGCACUACAAGUCAGCUACAUGGGUGUACAAAGGCUUAAGUUUAUUUGAUAUGAUCAUGCAGGCAAAAAGAUAAUGUUACAUCCUUGGCACUUACACAAGACAUGGAAAAUCUGUGUUGCAUAAAGGGCUCUAUGUAAGAUUUCUUUUGGAAAAAGGUUUCUGUUAAAGAAUGUCUAGGAACCAGCAGGUCUAAAUGGGAAAAGGUAGGGACUCUCUGUUAUGCCAAAGCUUCCUUUUAAGUAGGAAAAAACAUGCAGUUCCCUAACUCAGGGGGAAAGUACAAGCCUUACAGGGACCGUGGAGCACAUCUCAGAACAACUCUCAAGACAAAUGCACUUGGAAGCUUCUGAGCUCAAACGGAUGUUCAGGAAAAUUCUUCUAGGGGUGAGGUUAGCUCAGAAGUAGAGCACUUGACUACUGUGUGUAAGGCCCUGGGUUGGAUCCUCAGCACUAGGAGGAGAAAGAGGAUGAGGUGAAGAAGGAGCAGGAAAGGAGACUCUUUUGAACUAUUGUUAACAGACAGAAACAGCUCCAGAAAUUGCGGCAAUACAGGCCUUGACAUCAGGAGAAAGAAAUCCC